AACUGCGAAUGGCUCAUUAAAUCAGUUAUCGUUUAUUUGAUAGUACCUUACUACUUGGAUAACCGUGGUAAUUCUAGAGCUAAUACAUGCUAAAAACCCCAACUUCGGGAGGGGUGUAUUUAUUAGAUAAAAAACCAAUGCCCUUCGGGGCUCCUUGGUGAUUCAUAAUAACUUCUCAGAUCGCAUGGCCUUGCGCCGGCGACGGUUCAUUCAAAUUUCUGCCCUAUCAACUUUCGAUGGUAAGGUAUUGGCUUACCAUGGUUUCAACGGGUAACGGGGAAUUAGGGUUCGAUUCCGGAGAGGGAGCCUGAGAAACGGCUACCACAUCCAAGGAAGGCAGCAGGCGCGCAAAUUACCCAAUCCCGACACGGGGAGGUAGUGACAAUAAAUACUGAUACAGGGCUCUUUAGGGUCUUGUAAUUGGAAUGAGUACAAUUUAAACCUCUUAACGAGGAACAAUUGGAGGGCAAGUCUGGUGCCAGCAGCCGCGGUAAUUCCAGCUCCAAUAGCGUAUAUUAAAGUUGUUGCAGUUAAAAAGCUCGUAGUUGAACCUUUGGCCUGGCUGGCGGGUCCGCCUCACCGCGUGCACUCGUCCGGCCGGGCCUUUUCUUCUGGAGAACCGCAUGCCCUUCACUGGGUGUGUUGGGGACCAGGACUUUUACUUUGAAAAAAUUAGAGUGUUCAAAGCAGGCCUUUGCUCGAAUACGUUAGCAUGGAAUAAUAGAAUAGGACGUGCGGUCCUAUUUUGUUGGUUUCUAGGACCGCCGUAAUGAUUAAUAGGGACAGUCGGGGGCAUCAGUAUUCAAUUGUCAGAGGUGAAAUUCUUGGAUUUAUUGAAGACUAACUACUGCGAAAGCAUUUGCCAAGGAUGUUUUCAUUAAUCAGUGAACGAAAGUUAGGGGAUCGAAGACGAUCAGAUACCGUCGUAGUCUUAACCAUAAACUAUGCCGACUAGGGAUCGGGCGGUGUUACUAUUUUGACCCGCUCGGCACCUUACGAGAAAUCAAAG
RNAcentral lists this ribosomal RNA (1009 nucleotides) under Periconia byssoides. Its description in RNAcentral is "SSU rRNA". It matches the Rfam family "Eukaryotic small subunit ribosomal RNA", at positions 85 to 1103 of the family's 1831-position model. Lineage: Eukaryota; Fungi; Ascomycota; Dothideomycetes; Pleosporales; Periconiaceae. The record is from RNAcentral.